AGAACGAACGCUGGCGGCGCGUUUUAAGCAUGCAAGUCGGACGGUAAGGCUGGUAGCAAUAUCGGCCCAAGAGUGGCGAACGGGUGAGUAACACGUAGGUGAUCUGCCUCUGGAUGGGGGAUAGCCCGUGGAAACACGGGGUAAUACCGCAUGAGGCCCAUGGUGUAAAGGCCGUGGGUGAAAGGUGCAAUUGCAUCGUCUGGGGAUGAGCCUGCGGUCCAUUAGGUAGUUGGCGGGGUAAGAGCCCACCAAGCCGACGAUGGAUAGCCGGCCUGAGAGGGUGUACGGCCACACUGGAACUGAGACACGGUCCAGACUCCUACGGGAGGCAGCAGCUAAGAAUCUUCCGCAAUGGGGGAUACCCUGACGGAGCGACGCCGCGUGGAUGAUGAAGGCCGUAAGGUUGUAAAAUCCUUUUGUCGGUGAAGAAUAAGCGUGGGAGUGGAAAGCCCACGUGAUGACGUUAGCCGAUGAAUAAGCCCCGGCUAAUUACGUGCCAGCAGCCGCGGUAAUACGUAUGGGGCAAGCGUUGUUCGGAGUUAUUGGGCGUAAAGGGCGUGUAGGCGGCUCAUCAAGUCUGGUGUGAAAAUGCAGGGCUUAUCCCUGCAGAUGCGCUGGAAACUGGUGGGCUUGAGUUCUUGAGGGGAAGCUGGAAUUCCAGGUGUAGGGGUGAAAUCUGUAGAUAUCUGGAAGAACACCGGUGGCGAAGGCGAGCUUCUAUCAGAGGACUGACGCUGAGGCGCGAAAGCGUGGGGAGCAAACAGGAUUAGAUACCCUGGUAGUCCACGCUGUAAACGAUGUGCACUAGGCGUGGGGCCCGUACGGGUUCUGUGCCGUAGCUAACGCGAUAAGUGCACCGCCUGGGGAGUAUGCUCGCAAGGGUG
RNAcentral lists this ribosomal RNA (884 nucleotides) under uncultured bacterium. RNAcentral's name for it is "bacterial SSU rRNA". It matches the Rfam family "Bacterial small subunit ribosomal RNA", at positions 26 to 896 of the family's 1533-position model. The record is from RNAcentral.